UAGGUUAACGAGGCGAACCGGGGGAACUGAAACAUCUAAGUACCCCGAGGAAAAGAAAUCAACCGAGAUUCCCCCAGUAGCGGCGAGCGAACGGGGAGCAGCCCAGAGUCUGAAUCAGCUUGUGUGUUAGUGGAACGGUCUGGAAAGUCCGACGGUACAGGGUGAUAGUCCCGUACACCAAAAUGCACAGGCUGUGAACUCGAAGAGUAGGGCGGGACACGUGGUAUCCUGUCUGAAUAUGGGGGGACCAUCCUCCAAGGCUAAAUACUCCUGACUGACCGAUAGUGAACCAGUACCGUGAGGGAAAGGCGAAAAGAACCCCGGCGAGGGGAGUGAAAAAGAACCUGAAACCGUGUACGUACAAGCAGUGGGAGCACCUUCGGGUGUGACUGCGUACCUUUUGUAUAAUGGGUCAGCGACUUAUAUUCUGUAGCAAGGUUAACCGUAUAGGGGAGCCGCAGGGAAACCGAGUCUUAACUGGGCGUUAAGUUGCAGGGUAUAGACCCGAAACCCGGUGAUCUAGCCAUGGGCAGGUUGAAGGUUGGGUAACACUAACUGGAGGACCGAACCGACUAAUGUUGAAAAAUUAGCGGAUGACUUGUGGCUGGGGGUGAAAGGCCAAUCAAACCGGGAGAUAGCUGGUUCUCCCCGAAAGCUAUUUAGGUAGCGCCUCGUGAAUUCAUCUUCGGGGGUAGAGCACUGUUUCGGCUAGGGGGUCAUCCCGACUUACCAACCCGAUGCAAACUACGAAUACCGAAGAAUGUUAUCACGGGAGACACACGGCGGGUGCUAACGUCCGUCGUGAAGAGGGAAACAACCCAGACCGCCAGCUAAGGUCCCAAAGUCAUGGUUAAGUGGGAAACGAUGUGGGAAGGCACAGACAGCCAGGAUGUUGGCUUAGAAGCAGCCAUCAUUUAAAGAAAGCGUAAUAGCUCACUGGUCGAGUCGGCCUGCGCGGAAGAUGUAACGGGGCUAAACCAUGCACCGAAGCUGCGGCAGCGACACUAUGUGUUGUUGGGUAGGGGAGCGUUCUGUAAGCCUGCGAAGGUGUGCUGUGAGGCAUGCUGGAGGUAUCAGAAGUGCGAAUGCUGACAUAAGUAACGAUAAAGCGGGUGAAAAGCCCGCUCGCCGGAAGACCAAGGGUUCCUGUCCAACGUUAAUCGGGGCAGGGUGAGUCGACCCCUAAGGCGAGGCCGAAAGGCGUAGUCGAUGGGAAACAGGUUAAUAUUCCUGUACUUGGUGUUACUGCGAAGGGGGGACGGAGAAGGCUAUGUUAGCCGGGCGACGGUUGUCCCGGUUUAAGCAUGUAGGCUGGUUGUCCAGGCAAAUCCGGAUAAUCAAGGCUGAGGUGUGAUGACGAGGCACUACGGUGCUGAAGUAACAAAUGCCCUGCUUCCAGGAAAAGCCUCUAAGCAUCAGGUAACAUCAAAUCGUACCCCAAACCGACACAGGUGGUCAGGUAGAGAAUACCAAGGCGCUUGAGAGAACUCGGGUGAAGGAACUAGGCAAAAUGGUGCCGUAACUUCGGGAGAAGGCACGCUGGUGUGUAGGUGAAGUCCCUGCGGAUGGAGCUGAGACCAGUCGAAGAUACCAGCUGGCUGCAACUGUUUAUUAAAAACACAGCACUGUGCAAACACGAAAGUGGACGUAUACGGUGUGACGCCUGCCCGGUGCCGGAAGGUUAAUUGAUGGGGUUAUCCGUAAGGAGAAGCUCUUGAUCGAAGCCCCGGUAAACGGCGGCCGUAACUAUAACGGUCCUAAGGUAGCGAAAUUCCUUGUCGGGUAAGUUCCGACCUGCACGAAUGGCGUAAUGAUGGCCAGGCUGUCUCCACCCGAGACUCAGUGAAAUUGAACUCGCUGUGAAGAUGCAGUGUACCCGCGGCAAGACGGAAAGACCCCGUGAACCUUUACUAUAGCUUGACACUGAACAUUGAGCCUUGAUGUGUAGGAUAGGUGGGAGGCUUUGAAGCGUGGACGCCAGUCUGCGUGGAGCCAACCUUGAAAUACCACCCUUUAAUGUUUGAUGUUCUAACGUUGGCCCCUUACCGGGGUUGCGGACAGUGUCUGGUGGGUAGUUUGACUGGGGCGGUCUCCUCCCAAAGCGUAACGGAGGAGCACGAAGGUUAGCUAAUCCUGGUCGGACAUCAGGAGGUUAGUGCAAUGGCAUAAGCUAGCUUGACUGCGAGCGUGACGGCGCGAGCAGGUGCGAAAGCAGGUCAUAGUGAUCCGGUGGUUCUGAAUGGAAGGGCCAUCGCUCAACGGAUAAAAGGUACUCCGGGGAUAACAGGCUGAUACCGCCCAAGAGUUCAUAUCGACGGCGGUGUUUGGCACCUCGAUGUCGGCUCAUCACAUCCUGGGGCUGAAGUAGGUCCCAAGGGUAUGGCUGUUCGCCAUUUAAAGUGGUACGCGAGCUGGGUUUAGAACGUCGUGAGACAGUUCGGUCCCUAUCUGCCGUGGGCGCUGGAGAAUUGAGGGGGGCUGCUCCUAGUACGAGAGGACCGGAGUGGACGCAUCACUGGUGUUCGGGUUGUCAUGCCAAUGGCACUGCCCGGUAGCUAAAUGCGGAAGAGAUAAGUGCUGAAAGCAUCUAAGCACGAAACUUGCCCCGAGAUGAGUUCUCCCUGAGACUU
This 2630-nucleotide ribosomal RNA is filed under the name Klebsiella pneumoniae. Its description in RNAcentral is "partial 23S ribosomal RNA". It matches the Rfam family "Bacterial large subunit ribosomal RNA". The record is from RNAcentral. Lineage: Bacteria; Pseudomonadati; Pseudomonadota; Gammaproteobacteria; Enterobacterales; Enterobacteriaceae.